GCUAAGUCAACCAGGUCAUUUCAGAGCUUCAAGACCUCAGCUGGGCCCAAGCAGCCUCCCUGGCUAAAGGAAGCUCAGUGUGGUCACUAAUCAUCAAACAGAAAUGGAGACACAGAGGACAAAGUGCAUGUUCUUGGCUCACGCGGGGUGAAUCCCCCUAACUCAGGCUGGUCUCUGUAUUUGCUCUGUGCAGCACACAGCAGUCACAACGGAAGGCCAAGCAGAUUUACCAGGCACCAUAAGCUUCCCUGCCCACGAGGCAUGACUGCCAGCUACUCAGCCUUUCCAGGGGAGAAAGAAAUGAUUCCACAGUUCCACAUGUUGCACGAAGUUAGUCUUCAUUCUCAUCAGCGUCGAUGAAGAAUCAAUUCAAUAAUUGGUGAUGAACAUAACUUGGGAACAACGGAUUGCAGACUAUUUACAUGUGAUAUAGUGAUGGUAUAUUGUCAGCAAAUGCUAUUUUAAAGGGAGUUUGCAAUUCCUGUAACAGAACUGUGUUCCUGACUGAAAAACAGAAAGUAUCAGACCACAGGAGUAACAUGAAGAACAAAAAUAGUCUAACAUUUUCAAAGCAGAAGCAAACUUCUAAGAAUGGGUUAAAAGUGUAUACUGACUGCUCUGAA
Molecule: long non-coding RNA, 623 nt
Organism: Lagopus leucura (white-tailed ptarmigan)
Lineage: Eukaryota; Metazoa; Chordata; Aves; Galliformes; Phasianidae
Exons: 4
Source: RefSeq, a predicted model, not a curated record